GGGUCAGUAGGUUGGUCGUGCCACCGGUACGUACUGGUCUCACUGAUUCCUCUUUCCUGAAGAACCGUGAUGCCAUUAAUUUGGUGUUGCGGGGAAACAGGACUGUUACUUUGAAAAAAUUAGAGUGUUUAAAGCAGGCUAACGCUUGAAUACAUUAGCAUGGAAUAAUGAAAUAGGACGAUCGAUCCUAUUUUGUUGGUUUCUAGGAUUGACGUA
Molecule: ribosomal RNA, 216 nt
Filed under: Glomeromycotina sp.
Lineage: Eukaryota; Fungi; Glomeromycota
Description: partial small subunit ribosomal RNA
Rfam family: Eukaryotic small subunit ribosomal RNA (bases 40-216)
Source: RNAcentral